Molecule: ribosomal RNA, 450 nt
Filed under: Triticum aestivum (bread wheat)
Lineage: Eukaryota; Viridiplantae; Streptophyta; Magnoliopsida; Poales; Poaceae
Description: partial small subunit ribosomal RNA
Source: RNAcentral
AUGAAUGUAGAUGGAGGGGUCUCGAGGAAUGGAGCACGAGGAGCAGCGGCUGUCAUAUGCAAAGAUGAAGCGGGAGCCUUUUUGGGAGCUUCUGCAAUUGUUUUCGAUGGCCUAGUGGAUCCACCUAGUCUCGAAGCACAAGCAUGCAAUGAAGCUUUAGCACUGGCCAAAGAUCUGAAUCUGUGGAGAGUUCAGGUGGCCUCAGAUUGCCUUGAGGUGAUGAACAAUAUCAACAAGGGAGGAGCGCCGGUUUAUGGCCCGGUCCUACACGAGAUAAGGGACCGCAUGGAGGAACUAGAGUUUGUUAAUUUUUCUUUUGAAUUUCGUUAGUCGAACGAUGAAGCUCAUGCUUUGGUUAAGGCUGCUACUUCUCUUGCAGUCGGGCGCCACUUGUGGCUAGGGAUUUUGCCCAAUAUCAUUUGUAUUCCGCACAUUGUUAUCAGCGAAUAA